CUACAUGUCAGCUGUGAAAUUCUUCAGUGAAGGUGUCUUCCUGCAUGAGCUUCUAUGCUUGUUAUGAGUUGAGAGCAACGGUACAAUUCGUGCGGCACAACGAUCCGUUUCGUGCACUGAGGUUUUUCUCUGACGCUGUGCUGGUUAGUUGCGGGAGAAGGCG
Molecule: long non-coding RNA, 163 nt
Organism: Sinocyclocheilus anshuiensis
Lineage: Eukaryota; Metazoa; Chordata; Actinopteri; Cypriniformes; Cyprinidae
Exons: 3
Source: RefSeq, a predicted model, not a curated record